RNAcentral lists this ribosomal RNA (253 nucleotides) under uncultured bacterium. Its description in RNAcentral is "partial 16S ribosomal RNA". It matches the Rfam family "Bacterial small subunit ribosomal RNA", at positions 524 to 776 of the family's 1533-position model. The record is from RNAcentral.
UACAGAGGUCUCAAGCGUUGUUCGGAUUCAUUGGGCGUAAAGGGUGCGUAGGUGGCGCCGUAAGUCGGGUGUGAAAUUUCGGAGCUUAACUCCGAAACUGCAUUCGAUACUGCGGUGCUUGAGGACUGGAGAGGAGACUGGAAUUCAUGGUGUAGCAGUGAAAUGCGUAGAUAUCGUAAGGAAGACCAGUGGCGAAGGCGAAUCUCUGGACAGUUACUGACACUGAGGCACGAAGGCCAGGGGAGCAAACGGG